Molecule: long non-coding RNA, 2704 nt
Organism: Nicotiana tabacum (common tobacco)
Lineage: Eukaryota; Viridiplantae; Streptophyta; Magnoliopsida; Solanales; Solanaceae
Source: RefSeq, a predicted model, not a curated record
AUUAAUGAAGUUUGAGAAGAUAAUAUAUACGCAAACCUUCCUCCUAUAUCGUGAAAAUGGAGAAUUGUUUUCCGCUGGGCUAAGCCUUCUCUCAAAUUCGCUACCACCAAAUUAUGAGCUGUUAGGUGAACUGGCCAUUUCUCAAAAUCGCUAGUCUCGCCCCUGUCACUCUUCACAUACGGCCCCACAAAUCCCUCCCUCCGCUCCUAUCCUUUAUAAUCACCACGCAUUAUUGACCAUCUUCUUCACCAACUCACAGAACAUAUUGUAGCAUACCACAAUUUCUCAAUUUUCCGAUAACAACAGAUCUCAGAGAUUAUGGCUCAAAUUAGCAUUACAAUCCAAGCCUUGAUUCUCGCUGUCCUCCUUGCCGCCGUUGCUUCUUCCGCACAGGAGAUUGGGAUGGCACCGGCUCCGUCACCGGACGCCGGAGCGGCGUUCUCUUUACCGGCUUCCGGUUCCUUGAUUGCGACAUCUCUACUUGUCUCCUUAUUCGCUCCGUUGAGACAAUGCGUUCGUUUUUGAACAGAGAUUUGCGUUUUCAGGAUUGAUUUGUAUAGUCGUUUGGUGAUUUGUCAUUGUUCGGGUAUUAACCUGAUUCUUUUGUUAAUAUAUUCGAUUUAUUGGAAUUAAUUUCUUUGCUUAUAUUAUAUUUGGAUUUCGUAGCUUUAUUGAAUUGUUGAUUUUGAAUUAAUUUAUUCCAUUCUCUUUUAUUCUAAUGCACUUCUAAAAAAUGUCCAUCUUAACGAAAUGCUAAGAUUUGUGCUUGAUUUUAAUUUAUAUUAAAUACUGUUCCUAUGUCAAUUAGUACAAUUUGGAGGCAGCGUUAUGAUGAUAAUGAAGACUUAACAGAGAAGAUAUACCAGUUGUUUGACAUUGCAAACCAAGUAAUGAAUGAUUAAAAACCCAUAAUUGUGCUUAUGCAAAAAGUUAAAUUAACUUUCCUUCUAAAUAGCUUCAGAAACCGAGAAGAUAAUGGUUUUGGCCUCGAGAAGACUCAAUCAUGGUGACACUAGAUACAAACGGGUAAGGAGCAAUUCAAAUAUGACCAUUAUAGAAAUGUUAUAGAAGACCCCAAGAUUUCUUUGGCCUUUAUUAGAUUUUAUUAUCUUUUAUUGUUAUUCAUCACCUUUUAACUACCUUUUGCAUUAGUAUUGGUAAUUAAGGGGGUAUAAUUUGUAGAUCAUAUAUCACAUAACUCUAGUAUAAAUAGAGGUUUUCAUUCUAUUGUAAAGACAUGACGAAAUACCGGUAGCAAAAAAUUAAUAUUGUUUCUCUCAUUCUUUCAAGCUUUAUACGAGUGUGGUCAAGAUUUUUCAAUUAUUCUUGAUCCCCGCUGGGAACAUUCUGAAGCUCAGGCUUGUCUCUUCUUUAUUUAUCCUUAUUUAUUCUGUUUGCACUUUAUUAUUUUAUUUUAUCAGAUCAAAUUAAUCCAUGUGUCUAUAAACCAUGUUAUAGUACUAUUUUUUGGGUAAACAGUUUGACGCUCACCGUGAGGCAUAGAUAAUUAUGGUAUUACUUUGAUCCAUUCAUCUUUUACUAACACACUUUAAAGCUUUUCUGUUGUAAGCAUAAAACAACUAUGGCACCCAACGAUGUCAACAACUCGCUCAAUGUUGGAUCAAACAACAACGACGAGCCCGUGGACAAUAUCCAUGAUAGAAGUCAACAGGAUGGUUCAACUAAUAAAACUCGUCUCGAUAAGAAUGAGUCACCUUCGAAUCGGGUAGAAAGAAAUACUUGACGUGCGAAGUGUCCUACCCCUAAUGAUUUGGAUGACGAGCCCAUUGCCGACACUGUAAAGGUCUUGAGACUUAGAUUAAGUCGGGCAUUGGUGCUUCAUCACGAGACAUUUCUCUGAUAUCGGGAAGAUUUAAACCAUCAUGAGGCCGAGACUCGAGGGCUCACUGAGAAGAAGGGAUGCUUACAAACUUCUUAGUGAGAGACUCCAGGCUGAGCUAGAGGCGGCUCGGAAGGAGCAUGCCGACCUGGUCGAGCAGGUCCAAAAAAAACUUGAUAAAAUCGAGCAGCUCCAGGCAGAGGUGGAUGUAGUAAAGGCCGAAGCCUAAGAAUGGAAAAUAAACAUAGACCGCUUGCCCUCGAAAAAGAAGACUGGCCGGGCACAGCUGGCCUCGGCCGAGUCUUCGAGCUGCGAAGAAAAAGGCCUUGGUGCAGGCCAAAAAGAUCGAGGGGCUUCAAUCUCAUCUAAAUUCGGCUGUUUCCGAUCGAGAAAAGCUGGCCAAAGAGCUCGAGACGGCCAAGUCGGAGGCCAAGGUAGUUAAAAUCGAUGCCGACGAGAUGGUGGCCAUUUAUAAGGCCGAUACCGAGGCGGCUCAGGUUCGAGCAAAGGAUGUCAUCGAGUACACGAAAUGGCAAUCUCGAAGGGAGGCCCUCGAGGAAAUUCAUGCUCGGGGUUUCGACUUAUCGGCUGAGAUUGAGAUUGCCAAAGAGCUCGAAGCCGAGGCCAAAAAACUGGCCUUUCCCGAAGAUGAUGAAGGUUCUGAGGAUUUGGGCGAGUCCGAGGAAGACAGGGGGGUGAAUGUGAUGAUGCGGCUCCCGGCGAAGACUAGGCCACUUAGGCUCUUUUCAGAUGUUUUUGUUUUUUGCUUUUUAUAUUACCCUUUUGUCGAGGCCGUUUGGCCUUUGUAAAAAUUUGUUUUAGGGCGGUUUUGUAAAAAGACUUUUUGAUAUGUAUAUAAGGCUU